Molecule: transfer RNA, 76 nt
Filed under: Syntrophobacterales bacterium
Lineage: Bacteria; Pseudomonadati; Thermodesulfobacteriota; Syntrophobacteria; Syntrophobacterales
Also listed under: 1 other name
Description: tRNA-Thr
Rfam family: tRNA
About the family: Transfer RNA (tRNA) molecules are approximately 80 nucleotides in length. Their secondary structure includes four short double-helical elements and three loops (D, anti-codon, and T loops).
Source: RNAcentral
GCCGAUGUAGCUCAGCCGGUAGAGCAAGCGAUUCGUAAUCGCUAGGUCAGGAGUUCGAAUCUCCUCAUCGGCUCCA